This 2921-nucleotide ribosomal RNA is filed under the name Staphylococcus aureus H84492. Its description in RNAcentral is "bacterial LSU rRNA". It matches the Rfam family "Bacterial large subunit ribosomal RNA". RNAcentral also lists the same sequence under 2 other names. The record is from RNAcentral. Lineage: Bacteria; Bacillati; Bacillota; Bacilli; Caryophanales; Staphylococcaceae.
UUAAGUUAUUAAGGGCGCACGGUGGAUGCCUUGGCACUAGAAGCCGAUGAAGGACGUUACUAACGACGAUAUGCUUUGGGGAGCUGUAAGUAAGCUUUGAUCCAGAGAUUUCCGAAUGGGGAAACCCAGCAUGAGUUAUGUCAUGUUAUCGAUAUGUGAAUACAUAGCAUAUCAGAAGGCACACCCGGAGAACUGAAACAUCUUAGUACCCGGAGGAAGAGAAAGAAAAUUCGAUUCCCUUAGUAGCGGCGAGCGAAAUGGGAAGAGCCCAAACCAACAAGCUUGCUUGUUGGGGUUGUAGGACACUCUAUACGGAGUUACAAAGGACGACAUUAGACGAAUCAUCUGGAAAGAUGAAUCAAAGAAGGUAAUAAUCCUGUAGUCGAAAAUGUUGUCUCUCUUGAGUGGAUCCUGAGUACGACGGAGCACGUGAAAUUCCGUCGGAAUCUGGGGGGACCAUCUCCUAAGGCUAAAUACUCUCUAGUGACCGAUAGUGAACCAGUACCGUGAGGGAAAGGUGAAAAGCACCCCGGAAGGGGAGUGAAAUAGAACCUGAAACCGUGUGCUUACAAGUAGUCAGAGCCCGUUAAUGGGUGAUGGCGUGCCUUUUGUAGAAUGAACCGGCGAGUUACGAUUUGAUGCAAGGUUAAGCAGUAAAUGUGGAGCCGUAGCGAAAGCGAGUCUGAAUAGGGCGUUUAGUAUUUGGUCGUAGACCCGAAACCAGGUGAUCUACCCUUGGUCAGGUUGAAGUUCAGGUAACACUGAAUGGAGGACCGAACCGACUUACGUUGAAAAGUGAGCGGAUGAACUGAGGGUAGCGGAGAAAUUCCAAUCGAACCUGGAGAUAGCUGGUUCUCUCCGAAAUAGCUUUAGGGCUAGCCUCAAGUGAUGAUUAUUGGAGGUAGAGCACUGUUUGGACGAGGGGCCCCUCUCGGGUUACCGAAUUCAGACAAACUCCGAAUGCCAAUUAAUUUAACUUGGGAGUCAGAACAUGGGUGAUAAGGUCCGUGUUCGAAAGGGAAACAGCCCAGACCACCAGCUAAGGUCCCAAAAUAUAUGUUAAGUGGAAAAGGAUGUGGCGUUGCCCAGACAACUAGGAUGUUGGCUUAGAAGCAGCCAUCAUUUAAAGAGUGCGUAAUAGCUCACUAGUCGAGUGACACUGCGCCGAAAAUGUACCGGGGCUAAACAUAUUACCGAAGCUGUGGAUUGUCCUUUGGACAAUGGUAGGAGAGCGUUCUAAGGGCGUUGAAGCAUGAUCGUAAGGACAUGUGGAGCGCUUAGAAGUGAGAAUGCCGGUGUGAGUAGCGAAAGACGGGUGAGAAUCCCGUCCACCGAUUGACUAAGGUUUCCAGAGGAAGGCUCGUCCGCUCUGGGUUAGUCGGGUCCUAAGCUGAGGCCGACAGGCGUAGGCGAUGGAUAACAGGUUGAUAUUCCUGUACCACCUAUAAUCGUUUUAAUCGAUGGGGGGACGCAGUAGGAUAGGCGAAGCGUGCGAUUGGAUUGCACGUCUAAGCAGUAAGGCUGAGUAUUAGGCAAAUCCGGUACUCGUUAAGGCUGAGCUGUGAUGGGGAGAAGACAUUGUGUCUUCGAGUCGUUGAUUUCACACUGCCGAGAAAAGCCUCUAGAUAGAAAAUAGGUGCCCGUACCGCAAACCGACACAGGUAGUCAAGAUGAGAAUUCUAAGGUGAGCGAGCGAACUCUCGUUAAGGAACUCGGCAAAAUGACCCCGUAACUUCGGGAGAAGGGGUGCUCUUUAGGGUUAACGCCCAGAAGAGCCGCAGUGAAUAGGCCCAAGCGACUGUUUAUCAAAAACACAGGUCUCUGCUAAACCGUAAGGUGAUGUAUAGGGGCUGACGCCUGCCCGGUGCUGGAAGGUUAAGAGGAGUGGUUAGCUUCUGCGAAGCUACGAAUCGAAGCCCCAGUAAACGGCGGCCGUAACUAUAACGGUCCUAAGGUAGCGAAAUUCCUUGUCGGGUAAGUUCCGACCCGCACGAAAGGCGUAACGAUUUGGGCACUGUCUCAACGAGAGACUCGGUGAAAUCAUAGUACCUGUGAAGAUGCAGGUUACCCGCGACAGGACGGAAAGACCCCGUGGAGCUUUACUGUAGCCUGAUAUUGAAAUUCGGCACAGCUUGUACAGGAUAGGUAGGAGCCUUUGAAACGUGAGCGCUAGCUUACGUGGAGGCGCUGGUGGGAUACUACCCUAGCUGUGUUGGCUUUCUAACCCGCACCACUUAUCGUGGUGGGAGACAGUGUCAGGCGGGCAGUUUGACUGGGGCGGUCGCCUCCUAAAAGGUAACGGAGGCGCUCAAAGGUUCCCUCAGAAUGGUUGGAAAUCAUUCAUAGAGUGUAAAGGCAUAAGGGAGCUUGACUGCGAGACCUACAAGUCGAGCAGGGUCGAAAGACGGACUUAGUGAUCCGGUGGUUCCGCAUGGAAGGGCCAUCGCUCAACGGAUAAAAGCUACCCCGGGGAUAACAGGCUUAUCUCCCCCAAGAGUUCACAUCGACGGGGAGGUUUGGCACCUCGAUGUCGGCUCAUCGCAUCCUGGGGCUGUAGUCGGUCCCAAGGGUUGGGCUGUUCGCCCAUUAAAGCGGUACGCGAGCUGGGUUCAGAACGUCGUGAGACAGUUCGGUCCCUAUCCGUCGUGGGCGUAGGAAAUUUGAGAGGAGCUGUCCUUAGUACGAGAGGACCGGGAUGGACAUACCUCUGGUGUACCAGUUGUCGUGCCAACGGCAUAGCUGGGUAGCUAUGUGUGGACGGGAUAAGUGCUGAAAGCAUCUAAGCAUGAAGCCCCCCUCAAGAUGAGAUUUCCCAACUUCGGUUAUAAGAUCCCUCAAAGAUGAUGAGGUUAAUAGGUUCGAGGUGGAAGCAUGGUGACAUGUGGAGCUGACGAAUACUAAUCGAUCGAAGACUUAAUCAA